UUAUGACUAUAUAUAAUUAGUCAACUCCGUUGGAUUCAAUGCUUCUUUAUAGAAUCUAGAUUGGUGGGAACGAACGAAAUGCAUGCCGGCAUCAUUAUUGUGACGCGGUUUUCGCCGUAUCUUUCCGAAACUCCCAGGUCAGCGUUAACUGCGUGUUCAAACUUGCUUCUUUUUUCUUAUCCCUUUUACACACAGAUAUGUUAUACUCCACUGUCCAAAAUCUAAUUUAUAGAAUUAUAUUUCGUGUAUACCAUAAGAGAGAAAGACAUAGAAGAAGGAGUAAUAAUGCUACAAAUAAUACAGUAGUUGUAAUUUAUAGAGUAAAGUUAUAUGCAACUUAUACCAUUUUUUUUAUUAUUUCUCUAUCAUAUAUCACUCAUUUCAAAGAUUUUUCUUUUUCUUUUUUAUCUCUUCUCUGUCUAUAUAUCUCUCUUUGUUAUAUAUGACACAGCUAGCUGAUGGUUUUGAGAUGCAGGUAAAAGCUAGAUAAACUCUGCAGUAUUCUCUGGUCCUCAACCUCUCUCUUUCAUGGCAGAUUAAUUAUUCAUUAUCUCUUACGUACUUUUCUCAUUUCAUCGAAGCCGAUCGACUUUGGGACUUAAAGUCUUAAACCACGGUAAUUCUUUCCCUUAUAUAUGGUUUAUCGAUUUCAUGUAAUUUACUUUAUCGUCAAAUGUUAGUUAGGAGAAUUUAAAGGUGACCUCUGAAUCAAUGUUAUUUUUUUCUGAACUCAAAUAUAAGAAAAUUUAAUUAAUUUUUCUCCUAUUUAAUGAUCAUUCUUAAAACUUUAUUUUUAAGAAUUUUAUUUUAUUCAUGAUAUAAAUUUUAAUGAAAGAUAUUUUUAAAAUAAUCUUAUGAUUUACUUGAGAAUAAUAAAAUUAAAUCAUUUCAACUAAGUUUUUUAAUUAAUAUGAAAAUAAUUAUUUUACUUAUACAUUAAUCUAGAAGAAUAGUAUAUUGUUUGUCGAUUUCACGAACAUUAUUGAUCUGCAACCAUCUUUCAUAUAUGCAUAUCGAUCAUAUAUACAAUCCUACACAAAGGGUGCAUACACAAUUAGGUUUGUGUGACUAUUCUUUUUCAAACAAAUAUUCCCUUGGCAACAUACAUAUAUUUAUACGGGUUACUAAUUAAUGAAAACUGAUAAGCAUAUAAAUAAUGAAAAAGUCUUUAUAUGUAAAUGAAUAGUGUAUAGAAGGUCCUCUCUCAUAGUUUGUCUUUGCCAUCCAAAUCACAUGUUGGUUUCCUAGGAGGCUCAGAAGUAGAAGACUGCAUGGAAAACGGUAGAAGGUCUUGUUCAGCAGAAAGAAACACGACGUCAGUCCCAUAUAAACGAGGCAUGGCAUCAUUAUUAGUUGCAGUGCCACCAAACACUUGAGAAUGUUGAUCACUGAGUGGCGUCGCCGAGGCGUGGAACAAUGAUGGACGAUUAGUGAGGUAACCAAAUUCCUUAGAGAAAUGAACCCUUUCUGGAAAAUUAAGCUUAGCUUUGGUUCCUUUGAAUCUGAGAGCUGCUUCAUCGUAAGCGAGUGCAGCUGCCUCAGCAGUUUCAAAGGUUCCCAGCCAAACUCUCGCUGCUUUCUUUGGGUCUCGAAUCUCCGAUGCCCACUUCCCCCACGGUCGUUGUCUCACUCCUCUAUAGUGCCUUCUUACGUUUCCUUCACAUACACACACACAUGUCCAUACAUUUCAACAAAACAAUUUGCUCCCAUCUUUGUUACACUAUUUUUUAUUUUUUUUUAACAAGUUAUGAUAUUUAGACAUCCAUUUUUCUCAAACAUCUAUCUGAUACUAAUCAUUUCUCUUUAUCUUUUUUUUAUCGUCAUAUUAUAUCACCUUAAUGCCUAUAUAUUUUCUCUUUUAUCUCUUGUAGGUGUUAAUUUUAAUUGUCUAAGUACUAUUUUCCUCUUUUAGCCGCCUUUCCUUUUUUAAAGAGGUUUUAAUCGUGCAAAUGCUGUAAAUUUUAGUUUUAUUUAUUUCUUAAAUAGUUGUUAGUUUUUUAUCUUCAUAUUUUUUCUUAAAAAAAAUAUGUUUUUCAUCAUUUAAUAAUGUGUUGCAUACAACCAUGUCACAUUAACAACUACUAUGAGAUGACAUAUAAUGUGACUUAUCUAGAUGAAAAUGUCAUGUUAUCAUAAGAACCAUUAAUUUUCAAAAUUUAUAAGAAUCAAAAUUAACAAUUUUUUUAAGAAUUAAAACUAAAAUUUAUCAUAUGUGUAAGGAUUAAAAGACAUACUAUAUGCCCCUAUUAAAAUGAUAAAAAAGUUAGAUAAAGACAAUAGAAUAUAUACUUUCUUUAAAAGCAAAAUAAGUGAAAUGUAAUAAUUAAUAGGGGGAAAUGAAGAAAAUCGUUCCUAAUGUACUAAGAGGCUACAACUUCAAUCAUUUUUUAUUUUUAUUUUUAUGACGCUAGUUUAGGUGUGUAAUAAUUGCAUACAAGUUUUUAUUUUGAUAAAACUUACGCUGAAUUCAACUCGAAGCACUUCUGUUAUAAUCUCACACUAGCUAUAUAAAAAAAGUGCUAUCUUCUUUUUAUUUGUGGGCAUGCAAAGCUGUGUGUAAUUUUUAGCUUAUAAAGAAUAGGCUAUCUUCUUUCAUUUAUGAUGUUCUAAGAGGGUAAACUUCUUUCAUUUUGUAUUACUUAUCACGCUAUCCAUGGUGUAAAAAUUAGCAUAUAAGAAUUGUAUGAGAUUCAAUUUAGGCACGCCUUGUGAAUAACACUUCCAUCAUUAAUAAAAAAAUCAGCUUAUAAAAAUAAUUAAUGUUAUCUUCUUUAUCGGUAAGCAAACAACAAAAACAUUUUUAUUAUAUCAUUUUUUUUAUGAACAUGAUUAAUUUAUGAAUAUGCCCAUUAAGAUAUUUUAAUAAGUUUUUAACUGUUUUUACUAAUUGAAAAUUUAUUUGAUUAUUUAAUAAAUAAUUUUUUAAUAGUUUAUAAUAUUUUUUAAAUCAUUACUUGAAGUAUUAUUUGUUAAAACGUUAAUUUCUAAAUUUUAAUUUUUUUAUAUAUUUUUAAUCCUUAAUAUAUUUAUUUAAUUUUUUUAAAAAAUAAAUUAUAAUUUUAUUAUAUUUUUAUCAUUUUAUAUUUUUUUUAUCUAUUUCAACAAUUAACUUUAUCAAACACUUACAAUUUAAUAAAUUAAUUUUUUAGCUUAUAAUUUUCGGUUAGUAGCAAACUUUCUAGCAUUCAUUUAAUAUUUAAAUUUUUAAUUAGUUUUAUAAAAAAUAACCUACAUUAUUUUCUUUUAUACUCACCAUUAUACGAAUUGAAAAAUUAUCUUAUACUUUUCUUCUUUCUUUUUCUUAUUUAGAAAAAUAAUAACCCAUUUCUUUACUCUCUUUACUCCCCAAAAACUACACACAACGAAAGUUUCAAAUAGCAUCGACCAAACUUUAAUCACUCUAAUCUUUAAACUAGUUUGUAUUCAUACACUAUAUAUACGUUAUACUUUGUUCACAUCAUCACAUGUUUAAUGUAUAAUCAAAUUAAACAAUACAUAACACAAAAUUAUUUGUAUAGUGCAUUGACUGCAAAUGAUAAUCAGAACAAUAAAACUUGUACCGCCAUGAUUCGUCUACUUAUCUUGUACUAUACUUCUUUUACCGUCCUAUAAGAUGCAUAUCAAACACUUCGUGGGUGUAUAUGUUGUAUCACUUUUAAUUUGAAGAAAGAAAAAGGAAAAGACAUACAAGGAAUGAAUGGAUGAUCAGUUUUUCAUCAUUUUCUUUUCUCAAAAAUGGAAAAGUGUUUGCAAAAGAGGGUCUUGAACUGUGGUGUCUAUAUAUUAAUAGCAUUUUAAAUUUACAUCUGUUGCUGUUGCUGUUUUUUUUUUAAGAUGGACACUUACAUCUUUAAAAAAGAGCUUUCUUUCCUUUUUCUUUCUCUUUCUUCUUCACAUCAUUAGCAUUUUAUUACGUAUAAUUAAGAAGGGUAUGAAGAGGGGAGUGUAAAGAAGUAAAGACGUACGUAAACUAAAAAAAAUUUUGUAUCCAAUAUUAUAUAAUUAGUGCAUGGGAAACAAGAUUGACAAAACAAUGAACAACACAUUAAAGUAAACAAACAACAUUCAUGUAUCUAUGAAUUCCUCACAUCAUGUAAUAACAUGAAAUAUUUAUCAUUUUGGGGUCUGAAUCAGGAUCGAUGGGAAAGAUAGAGAGGAACACAACAGGGGAAAGAAGACUUGGUUGUGCAUCAAGUCUUCAGCCCUAUCUGUUAAUUCCCAAUAUUCCAUGGUCCUUGUUCACUCCUCAAAUCAAAUUUAAUUCUAAUUUAUAUAUAAGAAGAAAGAGGCAUAAAAUGUAUAUAUGAAUAUAUGUGGCAAAGGCAGGAACGGCAUACCUUGAUGUUGUGGU
This 4351-nucleotide long non-coding RNA is filed under the name Glycine max (soybean). Its description in RNAcentral is "long non-coding RNA (GMAX_LNC001120)". The record is from RNAcentral. Lineage: Eukaryota; Viridiplantae; Streptophyta; Magnoliopsida; Fabales; Fabaceae.